Molecule: long non-coding RNA, 271 nt
Organism: Bos taurus (domestic cattle)
Lineage: Eukaryota; Metazoa; Chordata; Mammalia; Artiodactyla; Bovidae
Source: Ensembl
UGUUUACAGUGAAUCUUCCUCGGUAUGUCCACUCCCGCGUCUCCGUCCCCAGGGUGAGCAGCAGCAGCAGGCGUUCCUCCUCACCCCUCCGCCGUCCCCACCUUCCCAGGAGACGCCCCAAGACCAGCAGGUAGCAGACAGUGCAACAGCAAAUGGAAAAGGAGAGAAAAAUUACCAGGGGAAAGAGACAAGAGAAACCGACUCCGUCCUCCUCAUUUACGGCAGGCGGGCCAGAAUCAGAAGGGAGAUGCCAUCACCUAAAUGAAUUUGG